AGGUACGUUCUCAUCUGGGUUGCUCUGCGGCCGCUUUUCGCAUCCAAGACGUUCCAGAGUCAUCUCGAUCUUCGAUCGCUUCCACUGCGUCGUCAGAAUUUGCUUCAGUAGCCAACAUUACCAUUUGACCAGGAAUGUCAUGCAUGGAUUAUCAUCACAAUCCAGAAACAAUUGUCUUCAUGAUGGACAAUGUCAGUAUCAGUGAGGAGUUGCUGCUGCUGCUGCUGGUUCUGUAUCUAUCUGGUUGAUUUCUUGCCCGUAGGGUUUCAUUCUGAUGCUUAGAAGCGAAUCAAUGCACCGAGUAGCCUCCGCUGGAUUCCUUGCUCCUUGUUCUACUUCUUUGCCUAAUUAUUCUUCAUGAAUGGAUCAUUUUCUGAUAAAUCAUGAUGAUAUGUGUGGCGUAGUUUAAUCAGUUUGCGAGAUUGCGGGGGUAAGCACCAGGAUGUGGACGACUGAGACAUUGCUAACGAGCUACGACAAUGUGUCAUGAUGCGGCAUUGGGAUGAAUGGAAAUCGUUGCAUGUCCCAUUUAUAUGUCACGAGUUAGUAUCCCUAGUAAUGCCUGUUGCUGUAGGUUGU
Musa acuminata AAA Group (dessert banana) is the source of this 579-nucleotide long non-coding RNA. RefSeq lists it as uncharacterized. The transcript is spliced from 3 exons. The record is from RefSeq and is a predicted model, not a curated record. Lineage: Eukaryota; Viridiplantae; Streptophyta; Magnoliopsida; Zingiberales; Musaceae.